UGUAAAAUUUUAAUAGUCGAACAGACUAAAUUUAUAAACAUCUACAUUUAUAAUUUAUUUUAAUUCAACAUCGAGGUCGCAAACAAUUUUUUCAAUUUGAUCUUUCCAAAAAUAUUACGCUGUUAUCCCUAAGGUAAUUUAUUUUUUUAUUAUACAAAAUAAUAUAUUUCAAUUAAAAUCUAUAAAUCAAUAUUUUUAAAAUUUUAAAGUUAAUUAAAUCUAAAAAUCCUCCCAAUCAAAUAUAUUAUUAAAAUUUAUAAAAUUUAUAAUAUAUAAAAUUCUAUAGGGUCUUAUCGUCCCUUAAAUAAAAUUAAGCAUUUUAACUUAAAAUUUAAAUUUAUUUUAUAUAAUUGAGACAGUUUAUAUUUCAUUAAUUCAUUCAUUCUAGCCUUCAAUUAAAAGACAAAUGAUUAUGCUACCUUUGUACAGUUAAAAUACUGCAGCUAUUUAAUUUUUAUCAUUGAGCAGAACUGACUUUAUAUUAAAAUCAAAAAGAC
This 497-nucleotide ribosomal RNA is filed under the name Osmia opima. Its description in RNAcentral is "partial 16S ribosomal RNA". Lineage: Eukaryota; Metazoa; Arthropoda; Insecta; Hymenoptera; Megachilidae. The record is from RNAcentral.